This 360-nucleotide ribosomal RNA is filed under the name Gigaspora sp. J20Gig. Its description in RNAcentral is "eukaryotic LSU rRNA". It matches the Rfam family "Eukaryotic large subunit ribosomal RNA", at positions 199 to 508 of the family's 3401-position model. Lineage: Eukaryota; Fungi; Glomeromycota; Glomeromycetes; Diversisporales; Gigasporaceae. The record is from RNAcentral.
GGUAUCAUAGAGGGUGAGAAUCCCGUGCAUGAUCAGACCAAGAUACUUAAUAUUCGUUUUCUAAGAGUCGAGUUGUUUGGGAAUGCAGCUCAAAUUGGGUGGUAGACUUCACCUAAGGCUAAAUAUCAGCGAGAGACCGAUAGCGAACAAGUACUGUGAAGGAGAGAUGAAAAGCACUUUGAAAAGAGAGUUAAAUAGUACGUGAAAUGUUGAAAGGGAAACGAUUGAAGUCAGUCAUGCUAGUGAAAAUUCAGUUUGACGGGUUUUGGGUUUAGGAGUAAGAGGUAGGGUCAAACCAUCUCUCUUUUAAACUUGGGGUUUGUCGGAUGCACUUAUUCUUUGGCAGGUUAGCGUCGAUUU